CUGCGCCAAGGACGGAAGAGUACCUUGCAACAUUACAGGCUGAGGCACGAGUGCUGGGAAAGCAGCUCUAUGGAGAAAGUCUGGGGAGGACUGGUGGACUGCAGGCUGGACAGAAGCCAGCAGCAUGUUGUGAAUGCUCUUCAGCUUGAUACAAAUAUAUCUGCAAUUUCUGAAAUGUUCCUUUAAUGUGGACUGAUAUAGCUUUUGCAAGAGAAAUUUAAACCAAAUUAUGAAUAAUACUUUUCAUAGUUCAGCAAAAGUUGAAUGUUAUUUUUUUCUGAAAAAUACAAGAAUUUUUUUUAAGCUGAAGGCCAUCUUUACAGGAUAUUCAAAUCUUUAUCAGUGGCAUAGGCAGUGGGAUUGAGUAUACCCUCAGCAUGCUUGCGGAUGACAUCAAGCUGCAUGGUGAAGUUGAUACAAUGGAAGGGAUACGAGGAAUCCAAAGGGACCUGGACAUGCUUGAAAAGUGGGCCCAUGUGAACUGAAUGAGAUUAUGAAAGGCCAAGUGCAAAGUGCUGCAUUUGAGUUGGGAAAAUCUCAGAUAUGGGUAUUGACUUGGAGAAGGUCUCCUUGAGAGCAGUUCUGUCGAGAAGGACUUGGGGGUCUUGACUGAUGAAAAGCUGGACGUGAGCCUGCAGUGUGCACUUGCAACCCAAAAGGCCAACAGUAUCCUGGGCUGCCUCAAAAGAGGGGCAACCAGCAAGGAGAGGAAAGUGACUGUACCCCUAUUCUCUGCCUCUGUGACCCCUCUGUGGAGUACUGCAUCUAGGUCUGGGACCCUCAGUACAAGGAAGACACGGUACUGUUGUAGCAGGUCCAGAAGAGAGCCAUGAAGAUGCUCAGAGGACUGUGGCACCUCUCCUAUGAAGAAAUGCUGAGGGAGUUAGUCUUGUUCAGCCUGGAGAAAAGAAGGCUCUGAGGAAAUCUCACUGUGGCCUUCCAGUGCUUGAAGGGAGCUUAUAAGAAGGAAGAGGAAUGACUUUUUUACAUGGGUAGAUUGCUAAAAAAUGGGGAUAUUUAGGUGAGAUGUUAGGAGGAAAUUCUUUACUCAGAGAAUGUUGAGGCACAGGCUGCCCAGAGAGGUUGUGGAUGCCCCAUCCAUAGAGGCAUUCAAGACAAGGUCGAAUGGGCCCGGGGCAGUCUGAUCUAGUGAGUGGCAGCCUUGACCAUGGCAGAGGGUUGGAACUAGAUGAUCCCUAGGGUCCUUUCGAGCUCAAACCAUUCUAUGAUUCUAUGAUUCAAAUAAAAAACCUACACAGCAUUUCUCAUCUGUCAUCUCUAAUGAUAAAAAAAAAAAAAAACAAAAAACCAAAAACCUUCUGGCUGAGUUUUGACUGAACUAAUUAUCUGUAUAAUUAAACAUAUAAUGAUAUGUAAUACCUUGACUGGUGAGGAAGAUGUGAUGCUCUCCAUAAGCAGCUCUGCAGAUCCGGAAAACUGGGAGUACUCUUCAGGCUACUCUUGCACAAAUUUCAAAUUCCUAAAUGCUACACUCUAGAAACCCCAGUACAAAGGGGUCAUACUUCAUAUAUCUCAAAUAUUCUGUCAGUCUCUGUAGAAACAAUUUUGUUUUGGGUCUCCUCUAAGGUUAUUAAUCUAGAGAAGGCCUCUGUAAAGAUGAACUGCUGAGUCUGAGAGCACUUGGUGUUAUUUGACAAUAUUUCAAGCAUGGUCAUGAGGAUUAGAUAUCCUCCCUGACGGAAACAUUAUUAGAGUGGAGUGUGGAUAAUGUAGUAAGUAUUUUGGAGUUUGAAUUGCACACGUUAAUUCAAGUGGUGUAAACUUAGAUCUGAGAAAGAGAUCUGCAACAUGAAGGGGAAAAGGUGAAUCUACAGUUCCAAUUGACUUCAAAAGAAACUAGGCUUCAUGUGCCAGCCUUGAACUAGACUCAUAAAUACAAAAUGAAGUAUGCUUAAGGAAGACAAAGUGAACCAAAAAGAUUAAAGGAUUAACACUCACAGUUGCAAAACCCACAUAGGCGUCAAAAGCCACUUGCAUUGUUCUGUCCCUGGCAAUAACAUUAGCAGAUGCUGUUAAAUGCAUAAGAAACUAAAGCAAGUACAGAUUACUCUUUCAUUCAGAGUAUCCUCUUUACUUCUGAAGACAGUGGGUCAGGGGGUUCCUGAGACAGAAACCGUAAUGAUGUGUCUUUUUGUUUUUGAAGCCAUACUUUUGGCAUUUCCAACAUUUGGUGACAGUGAACUCUGUGUGAUACUGUGUGUGCUAUUUUAUACAAAAUAACUAUGCAGUCAUUGGAAAAAAAUGUUCUGUUUUACAUUUGGAUCUUCUCCCUGGCUGUUGCAUUGGGAGCCUUGUCGUUCUUGUGCGCUAUUAGAAAUAGUAAACAGUUUUUCUCCACUCGUGUUAUUGGCAUCUUUGAAUAUUUUAUAUAUCUACUGGAUUUCUGUCUGCCUUUUUGUUUGCUUCUUUAUUUGUUUUUCCCCUUCAUCCUGAAGAAUCCAAGAGUAUACAAUCUUAUUCCAGAUGGAGGUAAUUCUGGCUCUCUGAUCAUCCUUAUCUAUAUUUGUCCUUGUUCUGCUAUUUAGUUAUUCAGACUGAGUGGCCAAGAUUGUUGUCAAU
This is a long non-coding RNA of Gallus gallus (chicken), 2580 nucleotides long. The record is from Ensembl. Lineage: Eukaryota; Metazoa; Chordata; Aves; Galliformes; Phasianidae.